This 748-nucleotide long non-coding RNA is filed under the name Homo sapiens (human). Its description in RNAcentral is "non-protein coding lnc-UQCRFS1-3:26". Lineage: Eukaryota; Metazoa; Chordata; Mammalia; Primates; Hominidae. The record is from RNAcentral.
AUUUAUGUAACCAUUCAUCCCUUGAAGAACAUCUGGGUUGUUUCCAGUGGGCAAUUAUAAACAGAGCCUCUAUCAACAUUCCUGUACCAGUUUUAGAAUGAACAUAAAUUUAUAUUUCUCUAAGUACUCAGGAGUAGAAUUGACGUUCUGUCAUAUGGAUAGCCACUGAGCAAGCCUGUAAGGCUAUUGGUCUGCCCAUUCUGGUUUCUUCACCAAUGAGAAAACUGGGACCUGGGGAGUUUGCAGAAGCCAUCCAAGGGCACCUGCUUCUCACAGCACAGCAGCUUCCUGCAGCCCUCCCUCCUGUCUUGUUUCUCCCUUAAUUGAGAGGAGAGGCCAGAACCAGAUGCAGGCAGUUCCAACAGUAAUGAAUUGCUCUAAGGUGUGGAUCCAAGAACCGGUGACAAGGUCAGGAAAUUCCAUCCCGGGACACUGACCCAACUAAGAGACUGUGCAUGAUGGCUAAGUUCAGAGCUCUGAGGAGAUGGUAAAACUCAUUUGCAACGAAACAAGAUAUUUUCCAACUCUGCAGCCAGGUGCAGAAAGCUGGAAGUGAUGCUCCAGGGAGUUUAUGUCUCCCCAUCUUGACCCACACCAAUACCUGAGGCUCGUUGCUUUGAUUCAAGUCCGGACAAGCUCUAAGGUUCAGCUCACACUGGGAGUCACGCUGCAGGAGCUCCUGGGAGUCUGUGAACGGUGGUGAUGCAGAAAAGCAAAGCGUGUAUAUCUGUUUUAGUCCUCCCUCAGA